GUGGGGAAUAUUGGACAAUGGGCGAAAGCCUGAUCCAGCCAUGCCGCGUGAGUGAUGAAGGCCUUAGGGUUGUAAAGCUCUUUCAGUAGGGAAGAUAAUGACGGUACCUACAGAAGAAGCCCCGGCUAACUUCGUGCCAGCAGCCGCGGUAAUACGAAGGGGGCUAGCGUUGUUCGGAUUUACUGGGCGUAAAGCGCACGUAGGCGGAUUGGUCAGUUAGAGGUGAAAGCCUGGAGCUCUACUCCAGAACUGCCUUUAAUACUGCCAGUCUAGAGUCCAGAAGAGGUGAGUGGAACUCCUAGUGUACAGGUGGAAUUCGUAGAUAUUAGGAAGAACACCAGUGGCGAAGGCGGCUCACUGGUCUGGUACUGACGCUGAGGUGCGAAAGCGUGGGGAGCAAACAGGAUUAGAAACCCCAGUAGUCC
RNAcentral lists this ribosomal RNA (425 nucleotides) under uncultured bacterium. RNAcentral describes it as "partial 16S ribosomal RNA". It matches the Rfam family "Bacterial small subunit ribosomal RNA", at positions 354 to 796 of the family's 1533-position model. The record is from RNAcentral.